This 465-nucleotide ribosomal RNA is filed under the name Vreelandella stevensii. RNAcentral's name for it is "partial 16S ribosomal RNA". It matches the Rfam family "Bacterial small subunit ribosomal RNA", at positions 338 to 795 of the family's 1533-position model. Lineage: Bacteria; Pseudomonadati; Pseudomonadota; Gammaproteobacteria; Oceanospirillales; Halomonadaceae. The record is from RNAcentral.
CCUACGGGAGGCAGCAGUGGGGAAUAUUGGACAAUGGGGGGAACCCUGAUCCAGCCAUGCCGCGUGUGUGAAGAAGGCCCUCGGGUUGUAAAGCACUUUCAGUGAGGAAGAACGCCUGGUGGUUAAUACCCAUCAGGAAAGACAUCACUCACAGAAGAAGCACCGGCUAACUCCGUGCCAGCAGCCGCGGUAAUACGGAGGGUGCGAGCGUUAAUCGGAAUUACUGGGCGUAAAGCGCGCGUAGGUGGCUUGAUAAGCCGGUUGUGAAAGCCCCGGGCUCAACCUGGGAACGGCAUCCGGAACUGUCAAGCUAGAGUGCAGGAGAGGACGGUAGAAUUCCCGGUGGAGCGGUGAAAUGCGUAGAGAUCGGGAGGAAUACCAGUGGCGAAGGCGGCCUUCUGGACUGACACUGACACUGAGGUGCGAAAGCGUGGGUAGCAAACAGGAUUAGAUACCCGUGUAGUC